UCCCAAGCCAGCAGCAUAAUCUGGAAGCUUGCUAGAAAUGCGGAAUCCUGGGCCCCAUCACAGAUCUGCUGAAUCAGAGUCCACACACAACAAGGUGUCCAAGUGGUUUGUAUGCACAUUCUUCAUGUGAGUCUGAGAGGUACUGGACUUCUACAUCACACCCUACCUCCUGCCACCAGGUGGGGUGGAGUGACAUCCACUCUGAGGUAGGUCAAACCAACCUCUGCCAUUGAGGGACAAGGAUGCCAGCUAUCACCAUUGAGGGACGAGGGAGAAAGCAUGGAGUUGGACAUGGAAGUUGUGACAGUAACCUCUAGAGGAACAGAUGAUCAUUAUUGCCAUCUUACAGAUGAAGCAACUGAGGCACACAGAGAUCAAGUGACUUGUCCAGACUCACACAGGCCCCCACAGUGGUCUGGACACAAUGGUCUUCAUCCCUGUUGCUGACUAAUACAGAUCAGGAAGAAGAUGCACAGGAGUCUUUUUCUAUGCAAAACAAGGAAGAUGACUAAGGAGAUGAGAGAUGCAACCAAAGCUUCUCUCAAGUUGCACUUGCUGACCCAAUUAUCAAAGUUGAGCAUUCCUGAAGUUGACAGCACACACAUGGAGGAAAACCGCUCUUCAGCCAAGCCAAGGAAAGCUGUCAGUUUGACAAUAAUGAAAAAAAUAAAUAAAUAAAGCAUU
Cavia porcellus (domestic guinea pig) is the source of this 684-nucleotide long non-coding RNA. RefSeq lists it as uncharacterized. The transcript has 3 exons. Lineage: Eukaryota; Metazoa; Chordata; Mammalia; Rodentia; Caviidae. The record is from RefSeq and is a predicted model, not a curated record.